AUGCUCAGUUAAAUUUGAAUUUCAGGUAAACAGUGAACAGCUUCUCUUUGUAGUAAGAGUAUGUCUCCUGCAUUAUUUGGGAUAUACUUAUACUAAAAUCCAUUCAUUGUUUAUCUGAGAUUCAAAUUUAACUGGGUAUUCUAUA
Molecule: microRNA precursor, 145 nt
Filed under: Mustela putorius furo (domestic ferret)
Lineage: Eukaryota; Metazoa; Chordata; Mammalia; Carnivora; Mustelidae
Description: miRNA (ENSMPUG00000023101.1)
Source: RNAcentral